GAUGAAGAACGUAGCGAAAUGCGAUACUUGGUGUGAAUUGCAGAAUCCCGUGAACCAUCGAGUCUUUGAACGCAAGUUGCGCCCGAAGCCACUAGGCCGAGGGCACGCCUGCCUGGGCGUCACACGCCGUUGCCCCCCCAUCUACUCCUUCGGGAUUGCGGGGGGGCGGAUGAUGACCUCCCGUGCGCCUAGCCGCGCGGUUGGCAUAAAUACCAAGUCCUCGGCGACGCACGCCACGACAAUCGGUGGUUGCGAAACCUCGGUUGCCCGUCGUGUGCGUUCGUCGCGCAUCGAGGGCUCGAAAAAAUGCUCGGCUCCGGCUGGGCUUUCAACGCGACCCCAGGUCAGGCGGGGUUACCCGCUGAAUUUAAGCAUAUCAAUAAGCGGAGGA
Molecule: unclassified non-coding RNA, 391 nt
Filed under: soil metagenome
Description: partial contains 5.8S ribosomal RNA, internal transcribed spacer 2, and large subunit ribosomal RNA
Rfam family: 5.8S ribosomal RNA (bases 1-122)
Source: RNAcentral